This 2804-nucleotide long non-coding RNA is filed under the name Homo sapiens (human). RNAcentral's name for it is "HSALNT0064456". Lineage: Eukaryota; Metazoa; Chordata; Mammalia; Primates; Hominidae. The record is from RNAcentral.
CCAUCCAAGGACGAAGGGUUGGAUUUGGGGAGCUCCAGAGCCCACUUGGUUCUCUACCCUACUGUGGCUGAGCUGGUACCUGAGAUGCAAGACAGAGUACCCUUUUAUCUUUCCUCUCCUUUUCUCAAGCAGAGUCUCUCCCCAACUCUACCACAGCUUGGAAUGUGCUGAGUCACAUCUGAAGCCAUGAAGUCUCAGAGUCUCACCUACCUCCCAUGUGAUCAUGGAAGGAUGCGUGGAGACGAAGCCUCUGUCAGUGUGGGUUGCUGUUGGACUCCAUGAUCAGAGACUCUCUGCCCACGUCAUUUUGUAGUGAGACUGUGCCCUAUACAUGAACCUAUUUGCCAGACCCAUCAAGUGAAUUCCGUGAUUCUUAUGAAAAAGCUAAGUUUAUUUCAAAGUUUUAGUAGAACACAUUGAAAAUAGUCAUCACUUAUUGUGCUCAGAGCCACUUCAUUGAUUUUAUUUCUUAAGCUAGAUAGCUAUCAACUACAAAGUCAGCCUUCUGGGAAGAAACCUGUAUGUCAUGAAAUCAGCAUGAAUUUUAGGUUAAGACAAAUCUGCAUUUCAAUCUUUGCUUGGCCAUUUAGAGUUUUGCAAUUAUGGGUGGUUCCAUGGCCUAACUGAGCUUCAGUUUCCUUAUUUGUGAAAUUGGGUUAAUACAACUAUUACAGAUUAGCACAAAUGAAGUAUAUGUAGCAAGCAUUCAAAACACAUUACAAUUCCUUGCUUAUUCUUUAGCCUUUUUGGUUUCUUCAUGUUUAGCCCAUGUAAAGUGAAGUAAAUCAAAUAAACCAUCGCUGAUUUUGGGUGAAGAAAUGAAACCCCAGAGCCCAGAAUUAGUACAGAUCUGGUGGUAUAACUCUAUGCUGAGCUAUACCAUCUACAUCCCUUAAUUACACUUCUAGGUUCUGACCACUAAAGUGCUGGGAUUAUGUUAAAUUCAGUUGGUGAGGAUGAAACAUAGAGCUAUGAGCUCAUCAGUAAUCUCCCCAGUCAAGCCUUCCACAUCAUUGUUUUUGCCUUUUUAGGCUCAAGAGGUUAAUGACAUUUUUUUAAAAAAUGAUUUUUCAAGUGCUUGAAGAUUACAGUUAAACUGGAUAUAUAAUCUGCUCCACUUUUGACCCUAAAAAACUGUAAAAUGCAGAAAUGUAACAUAGCGAUCUUAUCCUAACUCAGAUAAAUUUGCUAAAACACACACAUAUACUUUUGUUAUUUACAUUGGGAAAAACAAUUCUAAAUUCAAUCCUGGAUAAGUAUUUUUAAACGCAAACUUUAUGACCCAAUUCUGUUUCUACUGAACAGUGAGCUCAGGAGCAAGUGUUCAGGGAUAUGAUAAAAUCUGUAUGAUUUGAAGGAGAAAAUACGCCCGUAGUGAAAGAUAUGGGAAGAAGUUCUCACAAAUGGGAGAGAAAUUGAUUCUUUUCUUAUCAAAUUUUGUAGGAUGAGAUGCAGAUCUGAUUUCUAGGUAUUGCAGAUCAUGAGACUGAAAAAUUCAUAGGAUGCUUUAUUUUCUCCUCUUUCUUUCGCUACCUGGCAAACUGUUGGCCUGGGGUCUGGGAAGCCAUCUCUGUGUUGAGCCCCCAACCUGCUCUCCAUGAAGUUCCAAGAAGGUAACCUGACCGCGUUGGUCUUACCCCUCUGAUUAUACAGUGCCAUUAGACCUGUGAGAGGGGCUGUGACAGUGGAACCCGAAUGAAGACAGGAAAAGUCUGUAGAGGACUGAUGGUUAUGUUCACCAUUCAAAUUGCAAGAAAACCAAUAAGAAGUCAGUAAAGUGCAUUCAAAGAGAAAGGUGGGACUCGUGAAGAUGACUGCCUUUUCACUUAACUGUGUCCUCAUAUGGAAGAGAGGAGAAAAGAGGAGAGGAGGGGAGAGGCAAGUUCUCUUGUGUUUCUUCUUACAAAGCACAAAUGCCAUUAUGAGGGCCCCACCCUCAGGACCUCAUCUAAUCCUAAUUUCCUCCCAAAAUUAAAUCUCAAAUGUCAUCACAUUGUGGUUAGGAGUCAACACAUAAUUGGGGGUCAUGGUGGGGGUAAGUCACAAACAAUCAUUCUGUAGCAAUUAUUGAUCUUAAUGGAUUUAGGACUAAUGCUACUUAUUUCUCCAGUGAGUUUUAAUAAUGUGUAUCUUUCAAGCAAUUGUUCAUUUCAUUUAAAUAAUCAGUUUUGGGGCCAAAAAUUGUUCAUGCUAUUUCUUUUCUUUUUAUUUUAAUAUCCUUGGGAACAGUAGUAAUGCUCUUUAAUUCAUUUUUAAUAUUAAUUGUUGUCUUCUUCCUUUUUUAUAGUUACUUGGCAAAAAGUUCAUAAACUUUAUUGAUGUUUUCAAAUAAUUAGCUUAAAAAUAUUUUUUGAGAAAGGGUCUUACUCUGUCACUCAGGCUGGAGUGCAGUGGUGUGAUCAUGGCUAACUGUAUCCUUGACCUCCUGGGCUCAAGCAAUCCUCCCACCUGAGUCUCCUGAGUUGCUGGGACCAUUGGUGCACACCACCAUGCCUGCUAUUUUUUUUUAAUUUAUUUUUAUUUUGUAGAGACGGGGCUUCACUAUGUUGCUUACUCUGGGUCUCAAACUCCUGGGCUCAAGUGAACCUCCCAUCUCGGCCUCUCAAAGUGCUGGGAUUAUAGGUGUGAGCCACCAUGCCAGGCCAGAAUUAGCUUUUGUUUUCAUUAAUUUUUACUAUUGUUUUCCUAUUUUCAAGUUCAUUGUUCUGCUCAAAUUUUUAUUACUUAUUUUCUCCUGUUUGCUUUUUAGACUUAGAUGCUCUUUCUUCUUUAGUUUACUUAGGUGGAAAUUUAGGUGAGUGGGU